Molecule: long non-coding RNA, 1671 nt
Organism: Onychostoma macrolepis
Lineage: Eukaryota; Metazoa; Chordata; Actinopteri; Cypriniformes; Cyprinidae
Exons: 3
Source: RefSeq, a predicted model, not a curated record
UCGCAACGAGAUACGAAAAUAACGUUAUAAUAAUGACACUGACAUAAACGUGAACUGUAAACAAAGUUAAGUCGUUUUAUAAAAACGCUGUUCACACCAGAACCAUAAUGAUAAAGAGGAAGAUAUCGUUGGUUGGAAUCACUUUCAAAGCGAUUUUAUUUCCAGCUAAUGAACGAUAAACGUUGACAGUUAAUCAAAAUCCAUCUAUCUUUAAGAAUAAACGGCUCCUUUGGUAUGAAUGCUAGCAGUCAUUAUGGUUCUUGUUGUAAGCGGAGCCUAAUUUUACAUUUUUUACUCUAAAAACGUUUUAAAACAGUAUUUAUUGUUAAAAAAGUUUAUGUCUCUGUUAAGAGGGAUGUUUUUAAUUGUGUAUUUUUUUUUUUUUUUUUAAUCAUCUCUCUUUUAUUGAAGGGUAUCUGUCUUUAACCGCUUGGGGGCGACAAAACAUUAAGUUUCAAGAAGUCAUGGCUCGAGUUUUCUUUUUGUCUGCUUGACCACAACAUAAAAUAAAGCAGAUACGUAAUAUAGACAAGUUAACAAUGAUAAAAUAUCAGUGGUGAAUAAUGAUAAAACAAGAAAAAUAAACACAUUUGGAAUGCUUUGGAAUUAUAGUUUUAAGAAUAGGUCUAUUCAAAAACCUCUCACUUCAUGUAUGUAAAACAUACUUAAAGUAAUAUUUCUUGAUACCUAAGAACACAUCACUCUCAAAUGAUGAUUUUCACAUUUGGGUGGUCACUUCUUUCUCAAACUUGAUUUGUGUGCACUGUUAUAUCAAACAUUCCUCUAUAAACUAUGUUAAUGACAGGCUUUGUGCUGGAGAAAUUGCAGGUAUUGUCCAUUUUGUUUAAUGUCAAAGGUCAUUCAUGGGUUGGUUUGAGAGUUUCACCUAAGAAUGAAGUAAAACAGAAGACUUAAAAUAUAAAACUACAAUUUGAAUAAAUUCUAGAACUCUCCGAUCAAGAAUAACAUUCCAGCAUUCAUAAUAAACCAAUUAUCAGGUCUAAAGCUACUGUGAUGAUUUACAAUUUUAAGUGGGAAUCUCGUUCAUGCACCUUCUUGACCCGCGGUUACACCAGUGACACACCUGGUUCCUCGAGGCCUAAAACUGACAUUUGAGGUGAGCAAUUCCUGGAAUGUUGCAUCUGAGGGUCACGGUGAGCGAGAUUUGACCUUACAUGCUCAUUCUGAUGGGAGGUUCUCUGCACUGAAAUUACUCAAUAAUUCUGCCUUUGUGUUCCACAGAAGAAAGUCAUACGGGUUUGGAUCCACAUGAGGGGAGAAGACAGAACGAAACGAAGCGGUGAAGUAAUUUAUAGGGUGGAUGACAGAGUUUUAUUGGAUCCAUGAAGUCUAAUGUGACCGCAGGGCUGAAAUACUCGAACACAGCAUGAGACGCGCUCAUAACACGGAAAAUAUCACCAGGUCCAGAUGACCAACGCCAGGGUUCAACUAUCCUCGAUCAACCUCUAUCAGUCUCUUUCAUGGCCUUCUCUGUUUUAUUAGUUCUUAUUUGUCUGUCAUCAUCAUUUUUAUUUAAUUUAAUUUUGCAUUAUUUUCUCACAUUUCCAAUUUAGCACAUUUCCAAACUCUUAUUACAGUAAUCGGAUGAAAACAAGUAAAAAAAAAAUACUAUAUAUGUGUGUAUAUAUAUAUAUAUAUAUAGAUAGUGCU